RNAcentral lists this ribosomal RNA (861 nucleotides) under Pseudomonas mediterranea. Its description in RNAcentral is "bacterial SSU rRNA". It matches the Rfam family "Bacterial small subunit ribosomal RNA", at positions 56 to 911 of the family's 1533-position model. Lineage: Bacteria; Pseudomonadati; Pseudomonadota; Gammaproteobacteria; Pseudomonadales; Pseudomonadaceae. The record is from RNAcentral.
UGCAAGUCGAGCGGUAGAGAGGUGCUUGCACCUCUUGAGAGCGGCGGACGGGUGAGUAAUGCCUAGGAAUCUGCCUGGUAGUGGGGGAUAACGCUCGGAAACGGACGCUAAUACCGCAUACGUCCUACGGGAGAAAGCAGGGGACCUUCGGGCCUUGCGCUAUCAGAUGAGCCUAGGUCGGAUUAGCUAGUUGGUGAGGUAAUGGCUCACCAAGGCGACGAUCCGUAACUGGUCUGAGAGGAUGAUCAGUCACACUGGAACUGAGACACGGUCCAGACUCCUACGGGAGGCAGCAGUGGGGAAUAUUGGACAAUGGGCGAAAGCCUGAUCCAGCCAUGCCGCGUGUGUGAAGAAGGUCUUCGGAUUGUAAAGCACUUUAAGUUGGGAGGAAGGGCCAUUACCUAAUACGUGAUGGUUUUGACGUUACCGACAGAAUAAGCACCGGCUAACUCUGUGCCAGCAGCCGCGGUAAUACAGAGGGUGCAAGCGUUAAUCGGAAUUACUGGGCGUAAAGCGCGCGUAGGUGGUUCGUUAAGUUGGAUGUGAAAGCCCCGGGCUCAACCUGGGAACUGCAUUCAAAACUGUCGAGCUAGAGUAUGGUAGAGGGUGGUGGAAUUUCCUGUGUAGCGGUGAAAUGCGUAUAUAUAGGAAGGAACACCAGUGGCGAAAGCGACCACCUGGACUGAUACUGACUCUGAGGUGCGAAAGCGUGGGGAGCAAACAGGAUUAGAGACCCCGGUAGUCCACGCCGUAAAUCAUGUCAACUAACCGUUGGGAGCCUUGAGCUCUUAUUGGCCCCCCCUCACGCAUUAAUUUGACCGCCUGGGGAGUACGGCCGCCCCGCUAAAACUCAAAUGAAUU